RNAcentral lists this transfer RNA (74 nucleotides) under Coix lacryma-jobi (Job's tears). RNAcentral's name for it is "tRNA-Ile". It matches the Rfam family "tRNA". Rfam says of the family: Transfer RNA (tRNA) molecules are approximately 80 nucleotides in length. Their secondary structure includes four short double-helical elements and three loops (D, anti-codon, and T loops). The record is from RNAcentral. RNAcentral also lists the same sequence under 165 other names. Lineage: Eukaryota; Viridiplantae; Streptophyta; Magnoliopsida; Poales; Poaceae.
UUAAGCAUCCAUGGCUGAAUGGUUAAAGCGCCCAACUCAUAAUUGGUAAAUUUGCGGGUUCAAUUCCUGCUGGA